This 253-nucleotide ribosomal RNA is filed under the name Pirellulales bacterium. Its description in RNAcentral is "partial 16S ribosomal RNA". It matches the Rfam family "Bacterial small subunit ribosomal RNA", at positions 524 to 776 of the family's 1533-position model. Lineage: Bacteria; Pseudomonadati; Planctomycetota; Planctomycetia; Pirellulales. The record is from RNAcentral. RNAcentral also lists the same sequence under 1 other name.
GACGAACCAUCCAAACGUUAUUCGGAAUUACUGGGCUUAAAGGGUGCGUAGGCUGCGCAGAAAGUUGGGUGUGAAAUCCCUCGGCUUAACCGAGGAACUGCGCCCAAAACUACUGUGCUUGAGGGAGACAGAGGUGAGCGGAACUUAGGGUGGAGCGGUGAAAUGCGUUGAUAUCCUAAGGAACACCCGUGGCGAAAGCGGCUCACUGGGUCUCUUCUGACGCUGAUGCACGAAAGCUAGGGGAGCGAACGGG